AUUGAACGCUGGCGGCAUGCCUUACACAUGCAAGUCGAACGGCAGCACGGGUGCUUGCACCUGGUGGCGAGUGGCGAACGGGUGAGUAAUAUAUCGGAACGUACCUUAUCGUGGGGGAUAACGCAGCGAAAGCUGCGCUAAUACCGCAUACGCCCUGAGGGGGAAAGCGGGGGACCGUAAGGCCUCGCGCGAUUAGAGCGGCCGAUAUCAGAUUAGGUAGUUGGUGGGGUAAAGGCUCACCAAGCCAACGAUCUGUAGCUGGUCUGAGAGGAAGGUCCCCCACACUGGCACUGAGAUACGGGCCAGACUCCUACGGGAGGCAGCAGUAGGGAAUAUUGGGCAAUGGUCGGAAGACUGACCCAGCCAUGCCGCGUGCAGGAAGACGGCCCUCUGGGUUGUAAACUGCUUUAUCUGGGAGAAAAAGGACCAAUGCGUGGCAAACUUGCCGGUACCAGAUGAAUAGGCACCGGCUAACUCCGUGCCAGCAGCCG
Molecule: ribosomal RNA, 491 nt
Filed under: uncultured bacterium
Lineage: Bacteria
Description: bacterial SSU rRNA
Rfam family: Bacterial small subunit ribosomal RNA
Source: RNAcentral